Molecule: ribosomal RNA, 450 nt
Filed under: uncultured bacterium
Lineage: Bacteria
Description: partial 16S ribosomal RNA
Rfam family: Bacterial small subunit ribosomal RNA
Source: RNAcentral
GUGGGGAAUUUUGGACAAUGGGGGCAACCCUGAUCCAGCCAUGCCGCGUGCGGGAAGAAGGCCUUCGGGUUGUAAACCGCUUUUGUCAGGGAAGAAAUCCUUUGGGUUAAUACCUCGGAGGGAUGACGGUACCUGAAGAAUAAGCACCGGCUAACUACGUGCCAGCAGCCGCGGUAAUACGUAGGGUGCGAGCGUUAAUCGGAAUUACUGGGCGUAAAGCGUGCGCAGGCGGUUUUGUAAGAUCGAUGUGAAAUCCCCGGGCUCAACCUGGGAACUGCAUUGGUGACUGCAAGGCUGGAGUGCGGCAGAGUGGGAUGGAAUUCCGCGUGUAGCAGUGAAAUGCGUAGAUAUGCGGAGGAACACCGAUGGCGAAGGCAAUCCCCUGGGCCUGCACUGACGCUCAUGCACGAAAGCGUGGGGAGCAAACAGGAUUAGAUACCCGAGUAGUCC